Molecule: ribosomal RNA, 263 nt
Filed under: uncultured archaeon
Lineage: Archaea
Description: partial 16S ribosomal RNA
Rfam family: Archaeal small subunit ribosomal RNA
Source: RNAcentral
AGUCACUGACAUUAGAUACCCCUGUAGUCCAGGGUGUAAACGCUGCAGACUUGGUGUUGGGGGCCCUUUGGGGGCAUUCAGUGCCGGAGAGAAGUUGUUAAGUCUGCUACUUGGGGAGUACGUCCGCAAGGAUGAAACUUAAAGGAAUUGGCGGGGAGCACCGCAACGGGAGGAGCGUGCGGUUUAAUUGGAUUCAACACCGUAAACUCACCAGGGAAGACUGUUACAUGAAGGCCGAGAUGAAGACUCUGCUAGAUUUUCAG